This is a long non-coding RNA of Otolemur garnettii (small-eared galago), 424 nucleotides long. RefSeq lists it as uncharacterized. The record is from RefSeq and is a predicted model, not a curated record. The transcript has 2 exons. Lineage: Eukaryota; Metazoa; Chordata; Mammalia; Primates; Galagidae.
GGGGGCGUUAACCUCCGCGCCUGCGCGCUGGGAGUCUGUCGCUCUUGCUGGCAAUGGCUAUGUAGCUUCCCGGCGUCCGGAAAAGAAUGUAACCUCAUGAGGACUGACUUGUUCCCAGCCCAGCAUGAUGGCAUGUGGCGGACUGAGGACCACCAUAAGGCCAGAGCCUUCAGCACUCUCCACAAGGAUCUCACCUGCUUUGUUCUGUUGGGAUCUCAGGACGGCGGGGAUCCAGCAAGGCCUUGGGAAGGGAAAGAAUGGCUCCAGAAGGUAGCCCAACUGCACGGGAAGAAAUCACUGUUCACACCAAUCCAAUCUCAAAUGAGGGUCAGUUAAAAAUGCCAUUACCACAGAAAUUUAAAAUAGAAUUUAAAACAACAACAGAAUUGUGUCUAUAUGAAUUAAAUCUGUUAAAUGUUUCAGA